Non-coding RNA from Epinephelus lanceolatus (giant grouper), 960 nucleotides. Lineage: Eukaryota; Metazoa; Chordata; Actinopteri; Perciformes; Serranidae. The record is from RefSeq and is a predicted model, not a curated record.
GUAAACGUCGCACCAAGAUAUGCUUUGCUUUACAAUAGAGUAUUUAAAGAACUGAAAUGUGUAAAGAACCGCCCAUCAGGCUCUGGAUGAAGGAGGCCAAAGCUAUUUGCUGAGGAGGACAAGGCGACUGAAGAACAGAGACCGCUGUCAGCAGCAGUACAGAGAAGGGUCAGGCAGAGAUAAAGCACUACAGAGGCUCUCCUCCUACGCUGACCUCAGUGAGUCCAGUAACCUGGUAAUGGGACAUGACGGACAUUCUGCCAGUAGUUUCUGACUUGGCACAGCAAACAUGUUCUACUGACGGGGACAAUAUCAGCCAGGAGCGGGCUUGGCGGUUGCCUGAAAAAGCAGACAUGUUGAUUGAUUUUUAAGAAUUUCUGAACAAUGUAAAGAUCUUUCGGUGGAUUUAUACUCAUACAGAGUGGAUAUGACGCAUCAGUAUAAAUCCUACUUUAAAUAUGCAGCAGUAAGCCUUAUGUACUGACUUGCAACCGUUCAUUUUUCACUGUAUUGGUCACAUUUUGCUCCUUUGUGCUCUUAUAUACUGUUGGAGCUGCAGUGGCUCAGGAUACAAGGCAGUUGUGGUAAUCUGACAGUUUGAUUUUUGCUCAGUAAAAAUGUAAUUUAAUGAUGCUUCAUAAAAUUGGUAUCAAAAAAGUAUAGUUCAGGAACCCGUGUCAAAGUCAAGGUAUCGAAAUUUUAGAAUGAUACCCAUGCCUAGUGGGGAGAGAGGGCGGACCCACCGAUCUGAGUGGGUUAGUGACAGUGAGGAGUGUCAGCAUUUUACCCAAAGUUGAAUAUUUUCCAACUUUCAGCGACCAUGAUGUUGGACAACCACAGCUCCACCCACCUUAGUCUUGGCAAGGUGCUGGAAACAUCAGUAAGUCCAAAUUGUAUGUUCUGAGGGGAUAUAAUAGACUGAAAGCUCCAGAAUUAAAGCAACACUUACCUUUCUGGAAA